RNAcentral lists this ribosomal RNA (498 nucleotides) under uncultured bacterium. RNAcentral's name for it is "bacterial SSU rRNA". It matches the Rfam family "Bacterial small subunit ribosomal RNA", at positions 28 to 517 of the family's 1533-position model. The record is from RNAcentral.
GAUGAACGCUAGCGGCAGGCUUAAUACAUGCAAGUCGAGGGGCAGCAUGACUGUAGCAAUACAGUUGAUGGCGACCGGCAAACGGGUGCGGAACACGUACAGAACCUUCCUUCGAGCGGGGAAUAGCCCAGAGAAAUUUGGAUUAAUACCCCAUAGUAUAUUAGAGUGGCAUCACUUUGAUAUUAAAGAUUUAUCACUUGAAGAUGGCUGUGCGGCUGAUUAGGUAGUUGGCGGGGUAACGGCCCACCAAGCCUUCGAUCAGUAACUGGUGUGAGAGCACGACCAGUCACACGGGCACUGAGACACGGGCCCGACUCCUACGGGAGGCAGCAGUAAGGAAUAUUGGUCAAUGGACGAAAGUCUGAACCAGCCAUGCCGCGUGGAGGAUGAAGGUCCUCUGGAUUGUAAACUUCUUUUAUAUGGGACGAAAAAAGGGUUUUCUAACUCGUCUGACGGUACCAUAUGAAUAAGCACCGGCUAACUCCGUGCCAGCAGCCG